AUUUUUUUCCCCCACUUGAAGAAAUUUUCCUUUUGCAAGGGAGCUCCAAGGCAAACCAGACGCCGGGCGCCGCUAAGACCCGACGGUGGCUAGGGCCGCUGGGCCGGUGGCACGCUGAAGAACCCACGGCGGCACUGCCUCUCCGCUCGCCUCGGCAGCCUCGCUCCCCCGCACCGCCGCACGGAUGGUGGUUCCGGCUCCCCAAACGGCGAUAGGCGUCCGAGGUCUGAUGGAUGGGACUGUACCGGAGCCCCCCACCAGCAGCCUGCCUAGCCGUUCUUCUCCAUCCGUUUCUCACAGGUGGUCCCAUAAGCAGAUAAGCUUGUUGUCUUCAAUCUUCAGUGAGAAUUGUCACGGAGUGCAGCCGUGCUCACUUUUUGUGGACCGCAUCUGCCUCUACUUGUUUGUAAAAUUGUGAAUACAGGCUUGCAUGGUAGUACUAUGUUAGUUCAUAGCGCAUUCUUUUGACAUAUGUAAAACUGCAGGCUGUUUGUAAUUGGUGCCUAACGGUGUUACUUUUCGUGGAAGAUGGUAGCCUUCCAUCACAGAAAAACCUGCUUCACGAUGGCUCAUCAUUACGUGAAACUUGUGGCUGGUAUAGCACUUUAAUUCUGUAUUGUCCGUGUGAUUGUAAAAACAGUUCUCAAAUGAGCGCAGCUAGUAAAUCAAUUUAUACAUGAUACUAGUAGAGAACGCCCGCCAUUGCGCGCACUCCUGGCAAAGGUGUAACAGUUUUUGUAUAGAUACAGCAGCAGACAAGCAGAUAAUACAUUUCGAUACAACUAAACAUAAGGUUCAGUACGGUCGACUUUGGACAUCUGAAUAACAAAGUAUUGAAGAAAAGUAUCUGCAACGUUGCUUGCCCAGUGAUGAUUGUUACAAGAUCUAGCAGGAACACUUGAGCUGAUGGUAGGUACAGAAUUCCACAGGAAUUGGAAAAUGUGGAUGUUGGCGGUUGGAAGGCAUUACAUAAAUUAAGCUUUUCUGAUAGUCGGCAAUUUAUUUUGGCAACCGGCAUGGGGAUGAUGUCAUUUCUUGCUGUAAAAGGGAAAGAAAAUCUGUCAGGGAGAUGUACCUUUUUGAAUUAAGCAAAUGUAAGCGAGGUUAUGCUCCAAAA
Molecule: long non-coding RNA, 1117 nt
Organism: Panicum virgatum (switchgrass)
Lineage: Eukaryota; Viridiplantae; Streptophyta; Magnoliopsida; Poales; Poaceae
Exons: 2
Source: RefSeq, a predicted model, not a curated record